GACGAACGCUGGCGGCGUGCUUAACACAUGCAAGUCGAACGAUGAAGACUGGUGCUUGCACUGGUUGGAUUAGUGGCGAACGGGUGAGUAAUACGUGAGUAACCUGCCUUUGACUCUGGGAUAAGCCUGGGAAACUGGGUCUAAUACCGGAUAUGACAAGGAACCGCAUGGUUUUUUGUGGAAAGGGUUUGUACUGGUUUUAGAUGGGCUCACGGCCUAUCAGCUUGUUGGUGGGGUAGUGGCUCACCAAGGCGACGACGGGUAGCCGGCCUGAGAGGGUGACCGGCCACACUGGGACUGAGACACGGCCCAGACUCCUACGGGAGGCAGCAGUGGGGAAUAUUGCACAAUGGGCGCAAGCCUGAUGCAGCGACGCCGCGUGAGGGAUGACGGCCUUCGGGUUGUAAACCUCUUUCAGCAGGGAAGAAGCGAAAGUGACGGUACCUGCAGAAGAAGCGCCGGCUAACUACGUGCCAGCAGCCGCGGUAAUACGUAGGGCGCGAGCGCUGUCCGGAAUUAUUGGGCGUAAAGAGCUUGUACGCGGUUUGUUGCGUCUGCUGUGAAAGACCGGGGCUUAACCCCGGUAUUGCAGUGGGUACGGGCAGACUAGAGUGCAGUAGGGGAGACUGGAAUUCCUGGUGUAGCGGUGAAAUGCGCGGAUAUCAGGAGGAAACACCGAUGGGGAAGGCAGGUCUCUGGGCUGUAACUGACGCUGAGAAGCGAAAGCAUGGGGAGCGAACAGGAUUAGAUACCCUGGUAGUCCAUGCCGUAAACGUUGGGCACUAGGUGUGGGGGACAUUCCACGUUUUCCGCGCCGUAGCUAACGCAUUAAGUGCCCCGCCUGGGGAGUACGGCCGCAAGGCUAAAACUCAAAGGAAUUGACGGGGGCCCGCACAAGCGGCGGAGCAUGCGGAUUAAUUCGAUGCAACGCGAAGAACCUUACCAAGGCUUGACAUAUACUGGACCGCCUCAGAGAUGGGGUUUCCCUUCGGGGCUGGUAUACAGGUGGUGCAUGGUUGUCGUCAGCUCGUGUCGUGAGAUGUUGGGUUAAGUCCCGCAACGAGCGCAACCCUCGUUCUAUGUUGCCAGCACGUUAUGGUGGGGACUCAUAGGAGACUGCCGGGGUCAACUCGGAGGAAGGUGGGGAUGACGUCAAAUCAUCAUGCCCCUUAUGUCUUGGGCUUCACGCAUGCUACAAUGGCCGGUACAAAGGGUUGCGAUACUGUGAGGUUGAGCUAAUCCCAAAAAGCCGGUCUCAGUUCGGAUUGGGGUCUGCAACUCGACCCCAUGAAGUCGGAGUCGCUAGUAAUCGCAGAUCAGCAACGCUGCGGUGAAUACGUUCCCGGGCCU
RNAcentral lists this ribosomal RNA (1350 nucleotides) under uncultured bacterium. RNAcentral's name for it is "bacterial SSU rRNA". It matches the Rfam family "Bacterial small subunit ribosomal RNA", at positions 28 to 1381 of the family's 1533-position model. The record is from RNAcentral.